Hemibagrus wyckioides is the source of this 1028-nucleotide long non-coding RNA. RefSeq lists it as uncharacterized. Lineage: Eukaryota; Metazoa; Chordata; Actinopteri; Siluriformes; Bagridae. The record is from RefSeq and is a predicted model, not a curated record. The transcript is spliced from 3 exons.
AUAAGGGCGUGUCUGCAACACGGAAGUAAACAAGACCUUCGGCGUCCAGUGUUGGCGCGAGAGCUUUCUACGCUUAUUUAUAUUCUUCCCAGUUUAAGUGUUUAACUGGGGCAGUCGAGUGGCCAGUGGGUCUGCAGAAUGGUGUGACUUCUGAUAAAAGCCGGUGCCUACGUGGCGCGGAAGAUCUCUUCCGUUGUCCGAGGGGACGAGCAGAAAGAUCAGCCUGUCCUCACACCAUGUAGCCUGGCAGCGAAUAAGCGUCAGAGUCAGAAGCGGUUAAAGGCGGAGGAGAUGUCUUCCCCAGACCUGGAUGAUGGCGCAGUGUGUGGGCCUUCCACAGACACUACAGUGCAGAAACAUAGCUCCUGAGGUUAAGGGUCACGCUGGUGUUACUGGGAGAAUAAAGCAACAUCCCUUGUGUAACAAAACAUUAUCCUCAACUUAUACUGACUCCAACUAAAAAUGCAUAUUUGUUACACAAGGGAAGUUAUUGAAGAGUGCUGACCAUUUAUUCCAACAAGAUGGUACAUACUGAUUACAGUUAUUAACUAAUAAUACGUAUUUGGGUCUGGCAACUUCCCAAUUACAUCUAUAUUGUUUCCAAUAAAAUACAAACAUUUUCAUUACAUUUAUUAACUAUUCCUUAAUGUGAUUAAAAUGUGGGCAAAACUAUUAAUAGUUGGUGCUUAAAAACCUUUGACACCCAAAUUACUGAUACACUGCUUGAUCUAUUACUUUUGAGCGCAUUCAUGGAAAAAAAACAGACUUUAUCAACCCAGUUUGUCCUGUGUGACUGAUGGAUUCUCUCUCUCUCUCUCUCUCUCUCUCUCUCUCUCUCUCUCUCUCUCUCUCUCUCAGCAGUAGAGUGUGAAGGUCUGUUCAUCAACCUCUGACUCAGGGACUGUUCAGAUCUGAGAUUUUCCUACCGCUGUCAUAUUUAUAUUUAAACAUUGCCUAUUGUAUGUAUACACAUUGCUUGGUAUUUUACAGUAAAGCCUGUUAAAAAAUAAAAUGGUUUAUAAUCAGUG